RNAcentral lists this ribosomal RNA (417 nucleotides) under uncultured bacterium. RNAcentral describes it as "bacterial SSU rRNA". It matches the Rfam family "Bacterial small subunit ribosomal RNA", at positions 769 to 1185 of the family's 1533-position model. The record is from RNAcentral.
UUAACCGGAUUAGAUACCCUGGUAGUCCACGCCGUAAACGAUGAUAACUUGCUGGCCGGGCCCAUGGAACUUGGGUGGCGGAGCUAACGCAUUAAGUUAUCCGCCUGGGGAGUACGGUCGCAAGAUUAAAACUCAAAUGAAUUGACGGGGGCCCGCACAAGCGGUGGAGCAUGUGGUUUAAUUCGAUGCAACGCGAAGAACCUUACCUGGCCUUGACAUCCACGGAACUUUCUAGAGAUGAAUUGGUGCCUUCGGGAACAUUGAGACAGGUGCUGCAUGGCUGUCGUCAGCUCGUGUUGUGAAAUGUUGGGUUAAGUCCCGCAACGAGCGCAACCCUUGUCCUUAGUUACCAGCACGUAAUGGGGGAACUUCUAAGGAAAUGGCCGGGGACAAAUGGAAGGAAGGGGGGAAUAACUA